Molecule: unclassified non-coding RNA, 200 nt
Filed under: soil metagenome
Description: partial contains internal transcribed spacer 2 and large subunit ribosomal RNA
Source: RNAcentral
CAAGCCCUGCUUGGUGUUGGGUGCCGGCACGCGCGCCUCCGGCGCCCGCCGCCCCCGAAAUGAAUUGGCGGUCUCGUCGCAGCCUCCCUCGCGUAGUAGUAAAACAUCUCGCUUGGUGGAGUGCGGCGCGGCCACGCCGUAAAACCUCUUAAUUUUUUUAAGUUGACCUCGGAUCAGGUAGGAAUACCCGCUGAACUUAA